RNAcentral lists this long non-coding RNA (855 nucleotides) under Olea europaea subsp. europaea. Lineage: Eukaryota; Viridiplantae; Streptophyta; Magnoliopsida; Lamiales; Oleaceae. The record is from RNAcentral.
AUAUUGAAAUGUCUAUAUUUUUCAUCUUAUCGACUUCUUAAUGACAAUGAAACAAAUAAUGUAACAUUUUUAUAUAAAAAUGAAAUGUGACUUAUUAAUGAAAAAAUAACAAAUAAUACGACCUUUAGAUAUGUCUUACACCUAUUAUGACGAGGCCAUAUAAUUCGAAGUGGAGUGCCAAAUGGCGUCUACCUCGAAGCAAUGAAAUCACUAAGAUUGCAACUACGGAAAGAUCCAACUUCAUAAAUUUCGACUCAAAAAGAAGAGCCGGAACAAUUCUAAUAGUUAACCUCACAUCUAGGUCGGAACAAUAUAAUCUCACUCGUGCCAAGGGAGUCAUUUCAACUGCUCAGAUGCCAUGGAGUUUAUUAUUUUCCUCUGCACCACCAACACAGCAAAUGAAAACGAGGUAGAUAUAGUGCCAUAAGGUGAUUUGGCAAUUCACAAACAAUCACCACCUGAACUGAUCUGGGGGCUGAAGAUUGAAAGAGAAAGAUGCAACUUGAGAAAAAGUUAGUUUUCAUCGUUGAAGACCAUGCUUUAUGCUUUGAGUUGGUGGAAGAGUAAUAUUUGAUCGUGCAUCUUGACAAGGCCAAGGACAAAAAGAAGACAAAUUUCACUUAUGCAUUUCAAAUGAUCUCUCAAUGAGAUGCUUGGUGGGGAUGACUGCAUGCUAGUAUCAAGAAAAAGAAGUUAAAAUCUUAUUCGUUAAGUCUAGCUGUGUCCAAUAAUAUAUAACAAACGAACAUAUCAAUAUUGUUAAUUGAAGCUCCUAAUAAUUUGGAUAAACGUCUAUAAAAAUCUCACCAAUGGGUAACCAUCUAUGAGAUGAAAGCACGGCCAGGCAUUUUAUCA